Non-coding RNA from Podarcis lilfordi (Lilford's wall lizard), 5951 nucleotides. The record is from the annotation of a GenBank genome assembly. NCBI's taxonomy places the organism in Eukaryota, Metazoa, Chordata, Lepidosauria, Squamata, Lacertidae.
GAACAAGGUGGCAAGGUAAGGUACAGGGGCCUUAACCCAUAACAUAUCAGGUUUCUUUAUAUAUAUAAAAAAAAUGCUGCCAGACUAUUUUUCAGAAGUUUUCAGUGAAAGUUAUAUAUAAAAAGCUUUAAAGACAUGUUUGCCACUUUGAAGUCUGUGUCUCUGAAGUACACAUAGAGGCUUAAUGAGGACACUUCCAUGCUGCUUGGUACAAAUAUUGAUUGACUGUACACACUUGCAUUAGCUUCCAGCAUCAUGAGCAAUCCACAGUCCUAGACAAGUGGUUUUUUUGCUAUCAGUUGCGAUUUCAUAAAAUACUUUUCCAUUUUAGGGUUUUAAGGUGUCCUUGUUCCUCAGAUGUGUUUUGCCUGAUGUUGAAAGGAAAAUGUGGUCAACAACUAUAUAGAACUAUGCUUAUUAUUAUUAUUACUUAUUCAAUUUAUAUACUGAAUAAGGUUUAUGUGAUUGGUUGUUGAAUCGUUCUUACUGCACAAUGGGAAUAAUGAGGGAGAGAGCAAUGAUAAGUCACAUAUUGUAAUACUCAUGGAACACAAUUGACCAAGGUGAUCCUUUACACUUGGGGCUGCUCUGCACAGUAACAAGAGGUUUAGACAUACAGUAGUUUUAGCUCCAUGUAAGUAUCCCCAAAGAGGAUACCCUAGACUUUAAGUGAGAUAAUGUAUAAACUUAUGACGAACAAUAUUCACUAUGAGCUAUCUGUAAUUUUUUGACAGAGUUAUUCAUCGAUGAAAUUCAUGGGUAACUUUUAAUAUUAGAUGUAUGUGACUGUUUCACAGCUGUGCUUGAUAAAUUGUGAAGACAACGUGGUGAAUUUAUCAACUAAAUGAAUCAUUGAAUUCAUUCAUUUAUCUCCUUUGCAGAGAUCCUUAGUGAGAAAAUGGAGGGGGUGGAAUUGUGAAGCAGCCCUCUCAUAAAAAUAAUAAAAAUAAGAUUUUCUUGCUCACAUGGUACUCUGAUAAGUUGCUUUGUUUGAUUACAAAGAAUGGCCUAAAAUGAGUUUUAUGCAGAUUUUUUUAACAAUAGAACACAUUGUGUUAUGUGCAAUUUUACUGGAAAACAUUUUGAGAUAUAGCAUUUACUAAAUCAACUGACUGUGGAAGGAAGUAUCAAGAUUAAGAGCAUAUAUGUGUUCUAGGGUUCAUGUUUUAAAAAUAGCAUAUAUUGAUAAAGGUGUUCCAAAAUAUAAAAUAUAAGAUUAUUCUUUUACAUACUUAAUAGCAUUAAUUAUUUUUCUGGCAACAGAAAACACAGCAGUUUAUGCUUCAGAUCCGGCAUGUGGAGCUUGGUUGUUGUUGUUUUUGUUGCCACUUAUUAGUUUAUUUUACUAAAACUAACCCAAAGUGACUUCCAAAGUAGUACAAAUAUUAAAAAACAAUGUAAAACAAAAACAGUUAAAAAACUUAAAAGCACAUUCGCCACUAAAAAAGACCAUUCUCAUGUUGCCACUCCCUCCUCCCUUAGAAGGAGCAAAUUAAGAAUUGUCUCAGGUGAUGAAUGCAUGGUCUGGGUUGGUUCAUGUAAGGAAAAGCAAUCCUUGAGAUAUUGGGAUCCUGAGGCACAUCAGGCUUUAUAAAUAAAAGCCAGCGCUUUGAUUUGAGUCUGAAAACUGACUAGUAGCCAGUGCAAUCAGACCAGAAUUGGUUUUAUAUACACAGACCAUCUGGUCCUGGUCAGCAAUCUGGCCGCUGAAUUAUUCAUGUUAUUGUGUGCCAGGGAAAUGCCCUCUGAAGAUAUAGUGGUGUUAAUGGAUCUAUCAAUAUGUGAAUAAUUUUCUUCUUGUAGCAUAUGACUUCACACCUGUAGGAACUAUGACCAGCCUAAGGUUAUAACAAAUGGUGGUGCAGUAAAUUGUGCAUGAAUUGUUUCAGAGAAAGCGGGGUGUCAGUUCAUAUAUUAUGUAGAUAACUCCGACAACAAAACAUUGAUACUUCAUUGCACACAGUGCUACAGGGCCUGAUUUUACAAGGAUUUUUAAAAUUGUCAUUGUUGUUUAAAGAAACGUUUCCUAUUCAGCCUUCUUACUGAGGUAUCCGGUGAAGAGUUCACCACAGAUAAAGUCGCACAGCAUCAAAAUGCACUUUUUUUGCAAAAUUUAGCAAAAUUUGUGUGCUGUCUGGCCCUGAGCCAUAAUAGCUGCCUCCAUUUUGUGGCUCCAUUUACACAUUUACAGGUUGUGAAAUGGGGAGGGGAGGUUCACUGAUUAUGGAGGUAGGCAACAACCUUUCUACUGUGGUGCACUGCUGUCAUUUUUUCCCCAGAAUGCCCUGCUGAGCAAAGCUAUAUCGUCAUGUCAGGUAAAAAGGUAAAGGUAAAGGACCCCUGGAUGGUUAAGUCCAGUCAAAGGCGACUAUAGGGUGCAGUGCUCAUCUCGCUUCAGGCCAAGGGAGCCAGCAUUUGUCCGCAGACAGCUUUUCAGGUCAUGUGGCCAGCAUGACUAAAUCGCUUCUAGGGCAACGGAACACUGUGACAGAAGCAAGAGUGUACAGAAACACCGUUUACCUUCCCACUGUCGUGGUACCUAUUUAUCUACUUGCACUGGUAUGCUUUUGAACUGCUAGGUUGGCAGAAGCUGGGACAGAGCAAUGGGAACUCACCCCAUUGUGCGGAUUCAAACUGUCAACUUUCUGAUUGGCAAGCCCAAGAGGCUCAGUGUUUAGACCACAGCACCACCCGCAUCCCCCAUCAUCAUGUAGCAUCAUUGCAGAGAGUAUUCUAGGAAGAGAAGUGGUUGCAUUAGCAGUCAGUAGGAGCACUGCUUCAAUCAUUGCCACCAUCAUACAACAUGGGAAAUGCAAUGCAGUGAAUAGUUCCACCCUCCUUUCACCUCUGACCCAGCACCAAAAUUUGGCCAUUUGUUUUUCUCCAGCACUGAUUUCUUCAUGCAAAUAGUCACAUGCACUUAUUUAUGUAUGUGUUUUAUCUCAGGUUUCUGUGAUUAUUAUAAUAAAUUACAUUUUCUAUUGAGUGUCUAGAUUUCUUUCAUUGACCUGGUAUAAUGCCUGAGCAUUGCAGGAACUAUGAAGAAAUCAGUUUAGGAUUUUAAGGCGUGAGAAGGCAGAGUAGAACAGAGAAAUGUCUCUUCCAUUUAUUUCAUCUCUCCAUCUCAGCCAUGUCACCAUAACCUGACUUUCCUGAAGAUCCCUGGUCCAGCCUCACUUCAGCUACUCUAUGAAACAAAAACCAAACGAGAUGGAAAAUGCUACUUAUUUAUAUUUUCUUCAAUCUGGGUAUAAACAGGGCUUUCAUCCACCACCUCCUCCAAAAAAUGUGCAUCUACAGUGUAGUAGAGCCUCUUCAUUUGAAAGUAGAUACAAUGCAUUCCACAGAAGCAGAGAAUGGGCACGUAUUCCCAAUGACAACUAACCAUGGAAAUCGCCAUGCAUUGAAUUCCUUCAAAUUGACUAGAUGGACAUGACUGCCUCUGAUCCACAUCUGCAAAAGUCAGUUCAUUUUUUGGUGCAGGAAAGUGUUUUAUCAGAAUCCAUUUUAUGUAAUUGAUUGAAAACUCUGCAUUCCUAAUCUGAACAGGCAUAACCUUGGAGGAAAAGAGAAGGCAAUGUUGGACCCUUGGCCUUUCAUACCUAUAUUUUUGUUUAAAGAAAAAACUGUCUGAGAAGUAAAAGAAAUGUUUAUGGUCUUAGUACAGGACUAUUAAGUUGGCAGCUUGUUGCAUCCAAAAUGUCAAAUUUAAAAGCUGAACACUGAGCAAAUAAAUUCACCAUUCAAUAGGUCUCCAGUGAGGACCUUAACACACACAAUCAUUUCUCUGAAAACUAUAUAGGGGUCUCUUUUACUGCCUGGUUUUAAGUGCUCACUUUUAAAGUAGAAAUUAGCUGUUAGUAUCCUGGGACAUAUUUAUUUUUGAUAUCAUAUUAAACAAAAUGCAAAUAUAGAAGGCUCUUGCAAAUGAUGUUUUUUCAUGACACCAAGUUAUCUCUGAAUAUUUUUGUUGAGCUUUAUUUCCGCUGUUGGAUGUGUAAUCUUUGCUAAAUGUUUUGAAGGGAAGGAAUCAAAUAAAUUGCCCUAUUUUGGUCUUUCUCAUCUGUAUACAGUUGUGCAGCUCUAGUAGACCUGAAAAUUGCCCAGAGACAAACUUUUUUAAAAAUAGAGUGCUUUUGAGGCAGAAAAUUGCUUUUCUGCAGUAUCUUCUAACAGAUAGGAUGUGACAAGAGGACAAGUAGUUACCACCAUAGAGUUGUAAAGUCUUUAAAAACAAAGCAGAUCAAGGAGUUUUAUUUUCCAUCUCAGUUGACUACAAAAGGUUUGCAAUACUAAAAAUCUGCCUUAACAUUAACAGAAGCUACACAGUUUAGAAAUAAGCCUUGCAAGCCUGCCUAACCCACCUGUGGCAGCUAGAUGCUAUAAGGGACAUUCAGCAUGAUGCAUAAGAUCACAGAGUGUUUGUCAGCAUCUUCAGAAGUUCCAAGCACAGUAGGAAGUGUUGUGGCAGGGUGGCGGCAGUGAAAGAUUUCUUCAUUCUCGUCUCCUUAGUUUUAUGUUCGUCAUGUCCUUCAGUUGUUUGAAAUCUCUUGUGGAGUAAUAAAUAAAAGUGACUUAUCCUUUUUGAUCAGCCUCUUGAUGCUAUAUGGAAGUAUUUGUGUGUGUGCUUAACUUCUUGUUAAGGCAAUUUGCAAAUGCAAAAUAAAACAGGGAGGUAGAUGGAAUAAGGCUGAAGGAAGGGGGAGAGGCUGUACCAUCUACAUGCUAAGAGACAUAAAGAAACUUUGAACCUAUUAUCAUGUUAAUGGGCCAGUUGAGGAUUGUCAGGGUUUGAGGUAUUAAUCUUAAUACACAUUCACAUUCUUUAAUUGCUCCUUUGGUGCUGUAAUGGCAUAGGCUGUGAAUCUGUGCAAUAUUAACAGUAUUAUGUGCUUCUAUAGUUUGAAGCCAUAAUACCACAUGGGUAUUACAAACUAUAUAAAAAGUGUCAUAUGCUUCUGUUUUCAAAGAUUUAAUGUUAUUAUUAUUGUUUUAAAUGGAAAAUGAUCAAGUCUCUACAAUUAAAAUGGGGAUUGUCCAGACCAUGCCAUCUGGGAAAUCAAUGUUCUACCUUUAUCUGCUUGCAAAUGGAGGAGGUGGAGAUAAUAAGUCUCUCAGGAUUCACAAAGAAACCUGGUGGAAAGUGUUCAGCUUGGGAAUUUCACCAUGUAGUUUUCUCUGUUCUUGCUGCUUUCGGCUUCAUUCUUGUCUUUAUUAGAACUUGGCUGUCUGGCCUUUUGCAUCUUCAUAGCGUCCGUCAGGAAUUUUCAGCAUGGGCAAGUACUGGUCUUUUUCUAUCACAGUGUCAGGUGAUGACAAAAGUUUGGCCAAGCUUUUGAUACUGUAUGUGUAAAGCCACUGAUGCACUAGGGCUCUUGGGACAUAUCUAUGAACUCUCUUCAAAUGUACAGUGAAACCUCUAACCCAGCAAUGUAAUCCGUACUAUUUGCCAGGAGUCUGCACAACUGACAUCCCCUAAUGUUAAACAGGCAUUCAGUGACAGCAGGAUUCAGGAAGAAAUCUUCUCAGUCCCUCAACAAAAUAAGUAUAUACAGAAAACCUAGGUGACCUUGCAAACCAUUCCAGGUAUAGGACUUUGUGGGGGAAGUCGUCACGGCGUAUCUUAUAAAAAAGGAAAUUAGAAUGUUUUAAUAGUUAGCCACCCACCAAAUUUUGGGAAGAGAAGGAUAAUUUUCCUGAUAAUCAACCAAUCAACUGUACAGUAUUGAGCCUAAUCCUUGGUAAAGGUGGUGAGAUCUGAUGCAAUUUUUUUCAAGUAAAAUUGUGGUGCCAUUUGUUUGUGGAAUCAUCCUGUGGCAACGCAAAUAUUAAAGAAGCUUACUAUUCUUAAAAUGCUUGUGACAAUGUCGGCUUAGUUUUAAGAAUGUUUGAUUAAAUAACAAUUUUAAGUUCCCUACAGGUUGUAAGAGUCAGAAUGAGAUGUUAUUGUU